CGCGGCUAUCAUGCAAGUCGAGCGCGCCCUUCGGGGUGAGCGGCGGACGGGUGAGUCCCCUUAGGGAAUAUGCCCUUCUCUAAGGAAUAGCCUCUGGAAACACGGAGAGUAAUACCUUAUACGCCCUUUGGGGGAAAGAUUUAUCGGAGAAGGAUUAGCCCGCGUUAGAUUAGGUAGUUGGUGGGGUAAUGGCCUACCAAGCCUACGAUCUAUAGCUGGUUUGAGAGGAUGAUCAGCCACACUGGGACUGAGACACGGCCCAGACUCCUACGGGAGGCAGCAGUAGGGAAUCUUAGACAAUGGGGGCAACCCUGAUCUAGCCAUGCCGCGUGUGUGAUGAAGGCCCUAGGGUCGUAAAGCACUUUCGCCAGAGAUGAUAAUGACAGUAUCUGGUAAAGAAACCCCGGCUAACUCCGUGCCAGCAGCCGCGGUAAUACGGAGGGGGUUAGCGUUGUUCGGAAUUACUGGGCGUAAAGCGCACGUAGGCGGAUUAGUAAGUUAGAGGUGAAAUCCCAGGGCUCAACCCUGGAACUGCCUUUAAUACUGCUAGUCUUGAGUUCGAGAGAGGUAAGUGGAAUUCCGAGUGUAGAGGUGAAAUUCGU
RNAcentral lists this ribosomal RNA (602 nucleotides) under uncultured bacterium. RNAcentral describes it as "bacterial SSU rRNA". It matches the Rfam family "Bacterial small subunit ribosomal RNA", at positions 45 to 691 of the family's 1533-position model. The record is from RNAcentral.